This 816-nucleotide ribosomal RNA is filed under the name Triticum aestivum (bread wheat). RNAcentral's name for it is "partial small subunit ribosomal RNA". Lineage: Eukaryota; Viridiplantae; Streptophyta; Magnoliopsida; Poales; Poaceae. The record is from RNAcentral.
AUGGUGAACACACCGGUGUUGGCCCUUCCUGAUUUCAAUUGCCCGUUCUGGAUCGAGACCGAUGCGUGUGACACAGGCAUAGGAGCAGUCUUAGUACAGGAUAGUCACCCAGUUGCUUAUCUUAGCAAAGCCCUGGGUGUUCGCAAUCAACGUCUCUCCAUCUACGAGAAAGAAUUUCUCACUGUGAUGAUGGCCGUGGAGAAGUGGCGUCCAUAUCUCCAGCUCGCCCCAUUCGUCAUUGUCACUGAUCACAAAAGCUUGUGUCACCUCGAUGAUCAACAGCUUGAAACAGAGCUCCAACACAAGGCGAUGUCUAAAAUGGUGGGGCUUCAGUUUUCAUUCAAAUAUAGGCGUGGCCCGGACAAUGGCGCGGCGGAUGCGCUAUCCCGAGUCGGUCACCUGCUCUCAGUAGAUGCUUUGACGGUUUGCCAACCACACUGGCUUCAAGAAGUUGCAAAUUCCUACGAAACUGACAUGGACAGUCAAGAUUUGCUCCAACGUUUGGCAUUGAACAAUCCAGAUGAUCAGGGGUAUGAACUGCGACAAGGAGUGAUUCGUUGUCACGGCAAGCUUUGGAUAGGUGCCAACACCGCACUACAGACUAAGUUGACCAGUGCAUUUCAUGCCAGUGCAAUUGGUGGCCAUUCUGGUGUUACUGCAACCUAUCAGCGCAUCAAGAAACUGUUUGCUUGGAAGGGUCUCAAAGCUGCAGUCGAAGAUUUCAUGCGCCAAUGUUCCGUUUGUCGGCAUGCAAAACAUGAACACCUGAAGACAUCAGGCUUAUUACAGCCACUUCCCAUACCAACAGAACCUUAG